CACCCUUAACCUCUUCUUCUCUCCCAAAUCCUCUCUAAAACACCCUCAAACCCUAGCCACCUCCACCAUAAUCCGCCCUAAUCCAUGGCCUCACAAGGUCAUCAGAGACAUUUACCAGUCUUCCAUGGCUAAUAUAUGUUGUCCUUAUGGUUUCAAGUCUAAACUAUGAAGAACUGUAGUCUAGUCUUCGUUUGAUUUUUAGAUCAUAGCCCUUCUUCGGGAAUCUUUGACCUUUCUCCAUCCAACUGUGGUCAUUUGAGUUAGACCUUUGAUUCCCCUGGUUAGAUCGGUAACUUUCGAAGUCUUUCUCACCUUUGCUAGAUUUUCUAGAACCCUAAUCUCUAAG
This 346-nucleotide long non-coding RNA is filed under the name Nicotiana benthamiana. Its description in RNAcentral is "long non-coding RNA (NBEN_LNC029565)". Lineage: Eukaryota; Viridiplantae; Streptophyta; Magnoliopsida; Solanales; Solanaceae. The record is from RNAcentral.